UCGAUUGAGUUUGAUCAUGGCUCAGGACGAACGCUGGCGGCGUGCUUAACACAUGCAAGUCGAACGGUGAUGAGGAGCUUGCUUCUCUGAUCAGUGGCGAACGGGUGAGUAACACGUGAGCAAUCUGCCCUUGACUCUGGGAUAAGCGUUGGAAACGACGUCUAAUACCGGAUACGACUCUUGGAGGCAUCUCUGGGGGUGGAAAGAAUUUUGGUCAAGGAUGAGCUCGCGGCCUAUCAGCUUGUUGGUGAGGUAAUGGCUCACCAAGGCGACGACGGGUAGCCGGCCUGAGAGGGUGACCGGCCACACUGGGACUGAGACACGGCCCAGACUCCUACGGGAGGCAGCAGUGGGGAAUAUUGCACAAUGGGCGAAAGCCUGAUGCAGCAACGCCGCGUGAGGGACGACGGCCUUCGGGUUGUAAACCUCUUUUAGUAGGGAAGAAGCGUAACAGUGACGGUACCUGCAGAAAAAGCACCGGCUAACUACGUGCCAGCAGCCGCGGUAAUACGUAGGGUGCAAGCGUUGUCCGGAAUUAUUGGGCGUAAAGAGCUCGUAGGCGGUUUGUCGCGUCUGCUGUGAAAACCCGAGGCUCAACCUCGGGCCUGCAGUGGGUACGGGCAGA
Molecule: ribosomal RNA, 625 nt
Filed under: uncultured bacterium
Lineage: Bacteria
Description: bacterial SSU rRNA
Rfam family: Bacterial small subunit ribosomal RNA
Source: RNAcentral